GAGAGAGAGAGAGAGAGGAAGACGACGACCUUUGUAUCCUUCUCUCUCUUCUUCUCUUCCUCCUCUUUAGCCUUCGUCUCCUCUCGCUCUCGCCUCUCGCCUUCGCCUUCUCUCAAUCGGGCGCGCACCUUUCUGUGUCUGUGUGUGUGGUCGUCUCUUUCCUCGCGUGCUCUGCCGCUGCGCAAGAAUCAAAAGGCGCCACUAGAGGGUGUGGCUUGAGUUCGAGACCAAUCCGACCAUUCGCUGUGAUCUAAAAAGAGAGGGAGAGGGAGAGAGGCAAAGCGAAGUGGGAGGGCUUGGCGGCAAUCCUUGCGAAUCAUCCCAAGAUUCUGUCUUUUCUUUGCUGCGAUUGUUUCUUUGUAGGGGAGGGAGU
RNAcentral lists this long non-coding RNA (373 nucleotides) under Oryza brachyantha (malo sina). Its description in RNAcentral is "long non-coding RNA (OBRA_LNC000736)". Lineage: Eukaryota; Viridiplantae; Streptophyta; Magnoliopsida; Poales; Poaceae. The record is from RNAcentral.